CACGCCCUAAACGUUGCGAACUAGGUGUUGGUCGGAUUGACCCGAUCAGUGCCGCAGCUAACGCAUUAAGUUCGCCGCCUGGGGACUACGGCCGCAAGGUUAAAACUCAAAGGAAUAGGCGGGGGCCCGCACAAGCAGCGGAGCGUGUGGUUUAAUUUGAGGCAACGCGAAGAACCUUACCUGGGUUUGACAUGUAGAGGAAACGCCGGUGAAAGCCGGCGCCCCUCGCAAGAGGUCUCUACACAGGUGGUGCAUGGCUGUCGUUAGAUCGUGCCGUGAGGUG
This 283-nucleotide ribosomal RNA is filed under the name uncultured bacterium. Its description in RNAcentral is "partial 16S ribosomal RNA". It matches the Rfam family "Bacterial small subunit ribosomal RNA", at positions 796 to 1074 of the family's 1533-position model. The record is from RNAcentral.